This 906-nucleotide ribosomal RNA is filed under the name uncultured bacterium. RNAcentral's name for it is "bacterial SSU rRNA". It matches the Rfam family "Bacterial small subunit ribosomal RNA", at positions 38 to 916 of the family's 1533-position model. The record is from RNAcentral.
GGGGGCAUGCCUAAGACAUGCAAGUCGAACGAGACGACCUUUGGAAGACCGAAGUGCUUGCACUGAAGUAAGAAGAAGAUCAUCGUCUAGUGGCAGACGGGUGAGUAACACGUGGGUAACCUACCUUCAAGCUGGGGAUAACAGUUGGAAACGACUGAUAAUACCGAAUAAGAUAUAGCAAUAUAUUGAAAGGAGCCUUUAAAGCUCCACUUAAAGAUGGGCCUGCGGCGUAUUAACUAGUUGGUGAGGUAAUGGCUCACCAAGGUAACGAUGCGUAGCCGAACUGAGAGGUUGAACGGCCACACUGGGACUGAGACACGGCCCAGACUCCUACGGGAGACAGCAGUUAGGAAUAUUCGUCAAUGGGGGAAACCCUGAACGAGCAAUGCCGCGUGAGUGAUGAAGGCCCUAUGGGUUGUAAAACUCUGUUGUAUGGGAAGAACGGCCAUAUAAGGAAAUGUAUAUGGAGUGACGGUACCAUACCAGAAAGCUCCGGCUAACUACGUGCCAGCAGCCGCGGUAAUACGUAGGGAGCGACGUUAUCCGGAUUUAUUGGGCGUAAAGCGUGCGUAGGCGGUUUAUUAAGUUUAAGAUAAAAGCCCGGGGCUCAACUCCGGUUCGUCUUAAAAACUGGUAGGCUUGAGUGUGGUAGAGGUAAAUGGAAUUUCUAGUGUAGCGGUGAAAUGCGUAGAUAUUAGAAGGAACACCAGUGGCGAAGGCGAUUUACUGGGCCAUAACUGACGCUGAGGCACGAAAGCGUGGGGAGCAAAUAGGAUUAGAUACCCUAGUAGUCCACGCCGUAAACGAUGAGUACUAAGUGUUGGAAUUUCCAGUGCUGAAGCUAACGUAUUAAGUACUCCGCCUGAGUAGUACGGUCGCAAGCCUAAAAGGGAAAGGAAUUGACGG